UGGGCUGUGGCUCUGCGGUAGAGCGCUCGCCUAGCAUGUGCGAGGCCCUGGGAUGAAUCCUCAGCACCACAU
Molecule: transfer RNA, 72 nt
Filed under: Marmota monax (woodchuck)
Lineage: Eukaryota; Metazoa; Chordata; Mammalia; Rodentia; Sciuridae
Description: tRNA.Ala
Source: RNAcentral